CAGCCGCCACGGUAAUACGAAGGGUGCAAGCGUUACUCGGAAUUACUGGGCGUAAAGCGUGCGUAGGUGGUGGUUUAAGUCCGUUGUGAAAGCCCUGGGCUCAACCUGGGAAUUGCAGUGGAUACUGGAUCACUAGAGUGUGGUAGAGGAUAGUGGAAUUUCCGGUGUAGCAGUGAAAUGCGUAGAGAUCGGAAGGAACAUCUGUGGCGAAGGCGACUAUCUGGGCCAACACUGACACUGAGGCACGAAAGCGUGGGGAGCAAACAGGAUUAGAUACCCCGGUAGUCCCUGUCUCUUAUAC
Molecule: ribosomal RNA, 301 nt
Filed under: uncultured bacterium
Lineage: Bacteria
Description: partial 16S ribosomal RNA
Rfam family: Bacterial small subunit ribosomal RNA
Source: RNAcentral